Molecule: ribosomal RNA, 413 nt
Filed under: uncultured bacterium
Lineage: Bacteria
Description: bacterial SSU rRNA
Rfam family: Bacterial small subunit ribosomal RNA
Source: RNAcentral
GGACCCGCACAAGCGGUGGAGCAUGUGGUUUAAUUCGAUGAUACGCGAGGAACCUUACCAGGGCUUAAAUGUAGUGGGACAGGUCUAGAGAUAGACCCUUCUUCGGACUACUUACAAGGUGCUGCAUGGUUGUCGUCAGCUCGUGCCGUGAGGUGUCAGGUUAAGUCCUAUAACGAGCGCAACCCCUGUUGUUAGUUGCCAUCGAGUCAUGUCGGGAACUCUAGCGAAACUGCCGGUGCAAACCGAGAGGAAGGUGGGGAUGACGUCAAAUCAUCACGGCCCUUACGUCCUGGGCUACACACGUGCUACAAUGGCCGGUACAGAGAGCAGCCACUACGCGAGUAGGAGCGAAUCUAUAAAACCGGUCUCAGUUCGGAUCGCAGUCUGCAACUCGACUGCGUGAAGCUGGAAUC